GAGUGAUCGAAAGAUGAAAAGCACUUUGAAAAGAGAGUUAAACAGCACGUGAAAUUGUUGAAAGGGAAGCGCUUGCGACCAGACUCGGCCCCGGGGUUCAGCCAGCACUCGUGCUGGUGUACUUCCCCGGGGGCGGGCCAGCGUCGGUUUGGGCGGCCGGUCAAAGGCCCCAGGAAUGUGUCGCCCUCCGGGGCGUCUUAUAGCCUGGGGUGCAAUGCGGCCAGCCCGGACCGAGGAACGCGCUUCGGCACGGACGCUGGCGUAAUGGUCGCAAACGACCC
Molecule: ribosomal RNA, 281 nt
Filed under: Aspergillus ustus
Lineage: Eukaryota; Fungi; Ascomycota; Eurotiomycetes; Eurotiales; Aspergillaceae
Description: partial 28S ribosomal RNA
Rfam family: Eukaryotic large subunit ribosomal RNA
Source: RNAcentral